GCAGUCGAACGAUGAUCCCAGCUUGCUGGGGGAUUAGUGGCGAACGGGUGAGUAACACGUGAGUAACCUACCCUUAACUCUGGGAUAAGCCUGAGAAAUUGGGUCUAAUACUGGAUAUGACUGACUGUCGCAUGGUGGUUGGUGGAAAGCUUUUUUGUGGUUUUGGAUGGACUCGCGGCCUAUCAGCUUGUUGGUGAGGUAAUGGCUUACCAAGGCGACGACGGGUAGCCGGCCUGAGAGGGUGACCGGCCACACUGGGACUGAGACACGGCCCAGACUCCUACGGGAGGCAGCAGUGGGGAAUAUUGCACAAUGGGCGCAAGCCUGAUGCAGCGACGCCGCGUGAGGGAUGAAGGCCUUCGGGUUGUAAACCUCUUUCAGUAGGGAAGAAGCGAAAGUGACGGUACCUGCAGAAGAAGCGCCGGCUAACUACGUGCCAGCAGCCGCGGUAAUACGUAGGGCGCAAGCGUUAUCCGGAAUUAUUGGGCGUAAAGAGCUCGUAGGCGGUUUGUCGCGUCUGCCGUGAAAGUCCGGGGCUUAACUCCGGAUCUGCGGUGGGUACGGGCAGACUAGAGUGAUGUAGGGGAGACUGGAAUUCCUGGUGUAGCGGUGAAAUGCGCAGAUAUCAGGAGGAACACCGAUGGCGAAGGCAGGUCUCUGGGCAUUAACUGACGCUGAGGAGCGNAAAGCAUGGGGAGCGAACAGGAUUAGAUACCCUGGUAGUCCAUGCCGUAAACGUUGGGCACUAGGUGUGGGGGACAUUCCACGUUUUCCGCGCCGUACCUAACGCAUUAAGUGCCCCGCCCUGGGGAGUACGGCCGCAGGGCUAAAACUCAAGGAGUUGACGGGGGGCCCGCACAAGCGGGCGGAGCAUGCGGAUUAAUU
Molecule: ribosomal RNA, 885 nt
Filed under: Arthrobacter sp.
Lineage: Bacteria; Bacillati; Actinomycetota; Actinomycetes; Micrococcales; Micrococcaceae
Description: bacterial SSU rRNA
Rfam family: Bacterial small subunit ribosomal RNA
Source: RNAcentral